GUGGGGAAUAUUGGACAAUGGGCGCAAGCCUGAUCCAGCCAUGCCGCGUGAGUGAUGAAGGCCUUAGGGUUGUAAAGCUCUUUCAGUGGGGACGAUAAUGACGGUACCCACAGAAGAAGCCCCGGCUAACUUCGUGCCAGCAGCCGCGGUAAUACGAAGGGGGCUAGCGUUGUUCGGAUUUACUGGGCGUAAAGCGCACGUAGGCGGUUUGUUAAGUCAGGGGUGAAAUCCCGGAGCUCAACUCCGGAACUGCCUUUGAUACUGGCAAGCUAGAGUCCGGAAGAGGUAAGUGGAACUCCUAGUGUAGAGGUGGAAUUCGUAGAUAUUAGGAAGAACACCAGUGGCGAAGGCGGCUUACUGGUCCGGAACUGACGCUGAGGUGCGAAAGCGUGGGGAGCAAACAGGAUUAGAAACCCGGGUAGUCC
Molecule: ribosomal RNA, 425 nt
Filed under: uncultured bacterium
Lineage: Bacteria
Description: bacterial SSU rRNA
Rfam family: Bacterial small subunit ribosomal RNA
Source: RNAcentral